Molecule: ribosomal RNA, 465 nt
Filed under: Vreelandella stevensii
Lineage: Bacteria; Pseudomonadati; Pseudomonadota; Gammaproteobacteria; Oceanospirillales; Halomonadaceae
Description: partial 16S ribosomal RNA
Rfam family: Bacterial small subunit ribosomal RNA
Source: RNAcentral
CCUACGGGUGGCUGCAGUGGGGAAUAUUGGACAAUGGGGGCAACCCUGAUCCAGCCAUGCCGCGUGUGUGAAGAAGGCCCUCGGGUUGUAAAGCACUUUCAGUGAGGAAGAACGCCUGGUGGUUAAUACCCAUCAGGAAAGACAUCACUCACAGAAGAAGCACCGGCUAACUCCGUGCCAGCAGCCGCGGUAAUACGGAGGGUGCGAGCGUUAAUCGGAAUUACUGGGCGUAAAGCGCGCGUAGGUGGCUUGAUAAGCCGGUUGUGAAAGCCCCGGGCUCAACCUGGGAACGGCAUCCGGAACUGUCAAGCUAGAGUGCAGGAGAGGAAGGAAGAAUUCCCGGUGUAGCGGUGAAAUGCGUAGAGAUCGGGAGGAAUACCAGUGGCGAAGGCGGCCUUCUGGACUGACACUGACACUGAGGUGCGAAAGCGUGGGUAGCAAACAGGAUUAGAUACCCGUGUAGUC